This 27-nucleotide non-coding RNA is filed under the name Rattus norvegicus (Norway rat). Lineage: Eukaryota; Metazoa; Chordata; Mammalia; Rodentia; Muridae. The record is from RNAcentral.
UCUUUAGUCCUAGAGGGAAAUAAGUGC